RNAcentral lists this long non-coding RNA (657 nucleotides) under Oryza brachyantha (malo sina). RNAcentral describes it as "long non-coding RNA (OBRA_LNC000778)". Lineage: Eukaryota; Viridiplantae; Streptophyta; Magnoliopsida; Poales; Poaceae. The record is from RNAcentral.
UAAAUGAUGUUUUAAUACCUAUGGGGUAAGAGUAACACUAGCACUUGGACUUGGAUCAAUGGGCAAUGGAUGGUGUAAAAUACUUUUGGUGUACCUUAAAAUAAUCCAUAUAAAUAUAAUUAAGUCUAGCGUCAUAUGUAUAAAUAAAUAAUUUAUUUUAAAUGAUCGAGUGUACUAACAUGGUACAAAUCUAUUAAUGUUUGAAUUGAUAGUUAACCUCUGAAUUGAUAAUUCUUCACUCUUAACUUAACAUAAUUUUUAACAAUCUUUAUGUCAAAUAAAUAGAACUACUAACUUUUUCUUCUUUUGUUGUUUUGAAAGAAAGUUUAUGUAGUGUGAAUCGAAAUAUGAGAUAUGACUAUUUUAUUUAAUAGGUUCACAUCGUACUCCUCUUUAAACCUAGUACAUGUUUUGCACACAACAUCCUGACAUACAUCAAAGUUUUUUGUGUCAUUAAUUCAUUAUCUAAAAAAGUCUUUCUUGUAAAUUGUGUUUGGUAGAUUGUACUAUGACAUAAUCAACAGGGUUCAGUUGGCCUCUAAUAUCUUAUUAUGCUACUAGUUUACUAAACAAUCUUCUAUAUUCCCAUGAUCAUAACACUCUUUGUUCUAUUAGAGAAGAACAUCUCUCAAACCUCGAAAUUCCAACUAAGUUCUG